Long non-coding RNA from Oncorhynchus mykiss (rainbow trout), 1686 nucleotides. RefSeq lists it as uncharacterized. Lineage: Eukaryota; Metazoa; Chordata; Actinopteri; Salmoniformes; Salmonidae. The record is from RefSeq and is a predicted model, not a curated record.
ACGUCUGUUUCCCAGAAACAGUCUUAUAGUCGUUGUGUUUGGUGUAUUUAGGCGGUAUUCCAAGUGUUCUGUUCUUUAUCAUUCCUGGUAUUCUCGAGAUGUUUAUAAUACUCAAGAGUCGAUGUUCAGGCCAUCCAUACGAAGGAAUUCCCCUCGACCAAACCCACAAAUUCGGGAGAACAAACAGCAAUUUUUCUUUGUCCUAAUUGUAAAAGAGCCAACUUCAUCGUCAGUGUUUAGUUAUACAAAAAUAUGCCAAAAAACUGUUGUGCUGUUCAAUCUACAUGUAACCAGGUCAAAAAUCUGAAUAUACAGUUCACAGUGUUCCACGUAGGGAAAUAGAUUCUGUGAGAAGAGCCAUGUGGCUUCAGGCUAUUCCGUGUGGGACGUGGGGACCCGGUGUCCAAGUAGCUAUGUGUGUGGAAAACAUUUCUUCACAGAUUUCUGUUCUCUCAUUACCUCUGGAAGAACAAACUGUUACAGCCUCGACCAGAGAGAAGUCUGUGUUUUACAGCUGAGCGACACGUCUCCUUCCUGCUCCAGCAACAGCUGGUCAGAGAGAUCAGUCUGUCAAGGGACAACUUUAUACUACACCUUUACCACACCACAGAGACUGUCCAGACGCCAGAGGAAAGAGACUCGGUAUCCAUUUCAGUCCAACGGCCACAGCACUGGUGGAUGUCUGCAUUCCACUUCCUGUCUUGUAAAAGCCCUGUGUGGAUAGACAUCUCUUGCUCUGUGAUUUGUUGCACGGGUGGUAGACUUUGAUCCGUUAUCAGGAGACAGGCAGCAGGCCCUUAAACACACAACAUUCUAGAAGGAGGUCAAAGAGCAUAUUAGCAAAGGUGAAAUGGAGCCUCGACUGCUAGACUGGUACCUCCGUUACUGGAGCUCUGCUGCUUGUUCAGACAGUUGUUUGUUUGUACAACGUGGCUGUUGGUAUGUUACCUUCUUUCAAUAAUCCCUCCCAACAAAGGCAUUAUCUGACCUUGACCGUUCUUAUGGGAUACUGCAGGUAGAAAAGAGAAGCUGUUCUAAUCUUGCAUGUGUAACAGAUGUGAAACGGCUAGCUUAGUUAGCGUGGGCGCUAAAUAGCGUUUCAAUCAGUGACGUCACUUGCUCUGAGACCUUGAAGUAGUAGUUCCCCUUGCUCUGCAAGGGCCGCGGCUUUUGUGGAGCGAUGGGUAACGAUGCUUCGAGGGUGACUGUUGAUGUGUGCAGAAGGUCCCUAGUUCGCGCCCGGGUAUGGGCGAGGGGACGGUCUAAAUUUGUACUGUUACACAUGUACCACUAGGAGCUUAGAGCAAUUUUACAUGCCAGCAACAAAAAACAACAUUAAAAGCAGCAUAUUCGAUGAUUGUUCAAAAGUGUGAUUUUUUGUGAUUUAAUAUGGAUUUUUAUUUUUUUUUUAUCAAUGGGCUUAGUUUGCUUGACCCAAAUGCUUUGAUUCUACCUAUGUUAUUCCCACAAUUCUCACCUCCAUAUUCUAAAGUGGUAUUGUCCGAUUGACGCACUCACUUUAGAGCGUGGCUACUGCUUGUGAUUCCUGUCUGUGUGUAUAAAAGGAUCUGCAUUGUGUUUGGUCUAUGUUCACUCAAAUCAAUCUUGUGAACUCUUCACAUUCGUGAAUGCUUGGGUAGAGCUCCUUCUCUGCUCCUGUAGUUUAAACCUUCAUAGUUCUCCUGG